This 578-nucleotide ribosomal RNA is filed under the name uncultured bacterium. RNAcentral's name for it is "bacterial SSU rRNA". It matches the Rfam family "Bacterial small subunit ribosomal RNA", at positions 102 to 694 of the family's 1533-position model. The record is from RNAcentral.
AAGGGGCAGUAAUGUGUGGAUAACCUACCCUGGGGUUGGGCAUAGCCUCUCUAACGAGAGGGUAAUUCCCAGCGAUUCGACGCGGUGGCAUCAUCGUGUCGGGAAAGAUUUAUCGCCUCGGGAGGGGUCCAUAUCGUAUUACCUAGUUGGUGAGGUAACGGCUCACCAAGGGGAAGAUGCGUAGCGGGUGUGAGAGCACGACCCGCGCCACUGGCACUGUGACACUGGCCAGACACCUACGGGUGGCUGCAGUCGAGGAUCUUCGUCAAUGGACGCAAGUCUGAACGAGCGACGCCGCGUGUGCGAUGAAGGCCUUCGGGUUGUAAAGCACAAAAGUGGGGAUAAAGCCGCAAGGUUGAUUGAUCCACAGUAAGCUCGGGCUAAGUUCGUGCCAGCAGCCGCGGUAAGACGAACCGAGCGAACGUUGUUCGGAAUCACUGGGCUUAAAGGGCGCGUAGGCGGGUGAUCAAGUCGGUGGUGAAAUCCUACAGCUUAACUGUAGAACUGCCUCCGAUACUGGUUAUCUCGAGGAAGGUAGGGGCGUACGGAACAGUUGGUGGAGCGGUGAAAUGCGUUGA